UAUGUAGCACAUUCCUUACAGAGGAUGCGUUUCAAUCUGCAUAAAAGUGUUUCCUCUUGUCUCUAUCUGGCUUGUAUAUUUUAGAAACCCUGAGGUCUGCGAUGAAGUUGUAAGAGCUCCAAAGAGCAUUUCCCAGAGCCUGGCCUUCCAGCCGUACUCCGAGCUGUGCUGUCCCUCUAAGGUGGUGGUGGACAUCGUGUCCAGGCUGCUCCAGGCCCUCUGGUCCUGCCAGAUGGAAAGCCCCUGUGACCGGUCCUCCAUGGUGCUGAGCGACAUGAGUGUCACCAUAGUGCUGGCAGUAGUGGAGAACCUCUCUAGAGUUCUGAAGGCUCCUCCUGUCGCUCAAGUCUACUACUCCCGUUCCACUGGUGUCAGGAUGGUCCACUCACUCAACCGUAAGAUCCAGUGCCUAAACAGCCCUGAGGACCUUAGGAGAGCUCUUUUCACCCAAAGUUCCACCUUGAUCAGCACCAUCAUUGAAGCUGUGAGCACCAAAGUACAGAGGCUGUUUGAAGCUCCUGCUGACUACAUUCCAUUAAGCUCUAUCCGCAGCUGGCUAUCAGAGCCCAAGGCGAGCGAGGUUCGUCCAAAGUGCCCUGACCAGCUGGUAAUCUCCUCGGAGCUCCUGAGGAACAUCAUUGGUAUGAUAGUUUAUGUAGUCUUCGAAGGCCACCUAGAGGAAGACAUCAACCUUCAUUACUGGCCCCUCAUAAACAACAUAAUCCACCAGCUGUCACUGUGUGGGGUCAAAGUCACAAAGAAAGGGGGCAAGGCCAACUGGCACAUUGGCAGAUCAUUGAGAUGGUGACAAACAUCCAUACUCAUCUUCACCACUAUACUGGCACAGAGCUGGUACUAAAGUUUGCAACAUCUGCCAGGGACACCAUGCUAACGAGGCACAUGGUUCACCAUGUGGUCGAGGAGCUGGUAAAGCUGAAGGACGUGGAUGAAGGGACACCAGCUUCAGGGAGCAGUGAGGUGAGCAAUGAUUACAAGUGUUUAUCUUUAUGAAAGUCCACUCAUACAAAGCAUUUUUGUUGUUGUUGGUAAAAAGAAGAUUUGCAAUGUCGCAAAUAUUACGUUAAAUAGGAUGUCCUUGUUGCUUUCAGUCUGUCACAGCACCCCUAAUCACUAACCCCAUCAAAGUGGACAACAUCACAACAACCAUGACCACGACUCCAGUUGACCUCCAGUCAGGUGUUAAAUUGACACGGAUCACUUUGACAGCUGUCCAUGUCUUACUGUAAUAUAACUUAUUAGCUAAUGUUUUGAAACUAGACAGUUUUGCAAUAAGUUGUGUUUGUAUGAGAUAGAUUUUCUCCUUCUAAUUUCAAGGGAAUGUUGUGGUAAAACACUCAGCACCCUGUAUUCCACCUGCAGGCUUUGCCCCGGCACCAUGCAUAUUACCCCCAGGCUUUGCCACUGCAUCCUGCAUCCCACCACCGGGCUUUGCCCCAGCAUCCUGCACCCUACCACCAGUCUUUGCCCCGGCAUCAUGCCCACUCCCAGCAGGCUUUUCCCCGGCAUCAUGUCCCCCACCACCAGGCUUUGCCUCUCUAUCAUGCCCCCCACUACCAGGCUUUGCCUCUCUAUCAUGCCCCCCACCACCAUUCUUUGCCCCUCUAUCAUGCCCCCCACCACCAGGCUUUGCCCUUCUAUCCUUCCCCCCUCCACCAGGCUUUGCCCCUCUAUCCUGCCCCCCACCACCAGGAUUUUCCCAGGCAUCAUGCCCCCCAACACCAGGCCUUGCCCCUCUAUCUUGCCCCCCACCACUCACUAUCGCGGAUCAUAUCUGCACUCUAAUUCAGAGCAUCACUGCCAGAUCCAACAACAUCGUCAACAAGGAGCUGGAGAAGUGUAUCGACUCUUAUAGUAAGAGCAUCUGGGCUGACACUUUCUACUGUGAGUACAUGAAGAUGUACCCAUCACCCCAGGGGAUUGAAGCCUUCUCAUUUGAUGAGGAGAGAUUUUUAGUGGUGGCCAACAUAAAUUGGCAGAAUAUUGCUGAACAAUCUCCAGCUAGAGAUGCUCCUCUCAGUGGAAGACUUUAAUGUGGAUGAAGUAGGGAGCAGUGGGGUAAGCAACGAUCACAAGUGUUUAUCCUUAUGAAAGUCCACUCAUUCAAUAUUCUCUGAUAAAAAUACAACUAAAUGUUGGUAAAGAGGAGAUAUGAAAUCUAACAAAUGUUCUGUUAAAUAUUGUGUCCUUGUUGCUUUCAGUCUGUGGACUUGAUCCGGGCAAUCCCAGAGACCCCUAACCCUGUCAAAGUGGUAGACAUCACAACACCUAUGACCACUAAUCCAGUCAACCUUGAGGUUUUGGAUGAAACACUUGUCCUUCAGUCAGGCUUUGCCCCGGCACCCUGCAUUCCACCCCCAGGAUUUUCCCCAGCACCCUGCAUUCCACCCUCAGGCUUUGCCCUGACAUCCUGCACCGCAUCGCCAAGCUUCGCCGCUAAUGCCAUGCAGGGCUUUGGCACGAAAAUCAUCCUGAAACAAAUGGUCCUGCUAUUCUUGGAGAGGCACCCUCCUACAUCAGACGACCUUGAGUCAGAGUUCCUCACUAUUGCCGAUCAUAUCUGCACGCUGUUUCAAAGCAUCACUGCCAGAUUCCGCAACAUCGUUAAUGAGGAGCUGGAGAAGUGUACCGACUCUGACAGUAAGCAGUACUGGGCUUACACCUUCAACUGGGAGUACAUGAAGAGGUGCCCAUCAUCCCAGUGCCUGGGGAUUGAAGCCUUCACAUGUGAUGAGGAGAGAUGUUUAGUGGUGGCCACCUUGUUUGCAAAGAAAUUGUAACCCAAGAUGUUCCUCUCAGCAGCAGACGUCGACGAGGCUGAAGAUUCAGGGAGCAAUGGAUCUGUGGACAUGAACCUGGCAAUCGCCGACAAAUUUGUCCCUAACCCUGUCAAGGUGUUGGAGUUGCUUCAACCCCUGUCACUUCCAGACAUCAAAAAGCCCUUGACCACUAUCCAUGACAAAGUGCUGGACAACACAACAACAACCCUGGUUGAUGCCCCAGUUAAGGUGGACAACAUCACAACACCCCUGGUUGAUUCCCCAGUUAAGGUGGACAACAUCACAACACCCCUGGUUGAUGCCCCAGUUAAGGUAGACAACAUCACAACACCCCUGGUUGAUGCCCCAGCUAAGAGGUGGAUAACAUCACAACACCCCUGGUUGAUGCCCCAGCUAAGAGGAGGAUAACAUCACAACAUCCCCUGGUUAAUGCCCCAGCUAAGGUGGACAACAUCACAACACCCCUGGUUGAUGCCCCAGUUAAGGUGGACAACAUCACAACACCCCUGGUUGAUGCCCCAGCUAAGAGGUGGACAACAUCACAACACCCCUGGUUGAUGCCCCAGUUAAGGUGGUCAACAUCACAACACCCCUGGUUGAUGCCCCAGCUAUGGUGGACAACAUCACAACACCCCUGGCCACUAAUCCAGUCCACCUUAAGGUUACGGAUGAACCAGUUGACCUCCAGUCAGAAGAUUUUGUGGUCAUUAAACCAAAGAAAAGCAGAGUCAUGAGAUUCUUCCGUCGACUUUUCUGCUGCAUAUACGAAGAUGAUUUGAUGGUGUGAACCUAACCAGCUUUUCAGAGGAUGACUUCAGCUCACACACAAACACACGGGCGCGCACACACACAUAUACGCAUGCACACACACACACACACACACCAGAUGUUGUUUAACAUGAGUUUUGUAUGUUAAAUAUUUCUCUAUAAUUUUUCCUCAUUAAAUAUUUUAUUAUGUCUUCAUUCAAUGACUCUUUUUA
This is a non-coding RNA of Oncorhynchus mykiss (rainbow trout), 3778 nucleotides long. The record is from RefSeq and is a predicted model, not a curated record. NCBI's taxonomy places the organism in Eukaryota, Metazoa, Chordata, Actinopteri, Salmoniformes, Salmonidae.